This 29-nucleotide non-coding RNA is filed under the name Mus musculus (house mouse). Lineage: Eukaryota; Metazoa; Chordata; Mammalia; Rodentia; Muridae. The record is from RNAcentral.
UAGUGAUGCUAGACUGAUAUAGUGUGACA